GGAUUUCCUAGCUAGUGAGGAGGAGCCCUAGAGUGAAAUCCAGGCUUUUCUAUGCACUCCUGGGGGACCUGACUCAAGUCCAGGCUCCUUUCCCUCAGUUCUGUUUUCAAAGUGUUGAGAAGGAAACAGCUCAAGGUAAUGAUGUUAGAAAAAUAACCGUCUGAGGUCUGUGAUACACAGCAGUGGUAUGAUCUCUCUGAGUGAAUUGACCACCUUGCCUUCCCUGCUGUUGAUCCUCCAGGGGAGAAGAAAUACAACCAAAGCGUAAUUUGGUGGGGCUUUUGUAAGCUCGUAAAUCACAUUUAGUAAAUGUGCAUCUUGGCUCCCUCACAUACAUACAAGUGAGCGUGAGCAAUUUCUUUGGCAUUUUCGAGCCGCAGUUUCCUCAUAUUUAUUAUAAGAAUGAUACCAUGGAAUGGUGCAAAUAGAAAACAUGUAACACGCUGCUUAAUAGGUACUCGCUCUGAGCCGUCUAACCCCUCUGGCUGCAAACACGCUUCAGUCCACCAGGGGGUGGUGAUGUGCCGGGGUUGGGGGCGCUGUGGAGAGCCCAGUGGCGACAUGACCGCGCAUGCGCGUCCCCGGCGGGAAGGGCGGGGUCACCACAUCUUGGUGGAUUGGCCAGCAGCCUGGGCAGGUGAUGGAGCAGCGGUGGGCAGCAGCUGGAGAGCACGGAUACCUCUGGCCAAAGCUACAGCAAACGAAGGAUUCUUUUUACAACUAUCUUGCAUAUAAAAUUCGGGAGCACU
Lutra lutra (Eurasian river otter) is the source of this 749-nucleotide long non-coding RNA. RefSeq lists it as uncharacterized. NCBI's taxonomy places the organism in Eukaryota, Metazoa, Chordata, Mammalia, Carnivora, Mustelidae. The transcript has 2 exons. The record is from RefSeq and is a predicted model, not a curated record.